This 351-nucleotide RNase P RNA is filed under the name Calidris pugnax (ruff). RNAcentral's name for it is "Nuclear RNase P (ENSCPUG00000017281.1)". It matches the Rfam family "Nuclear RNase P". From Rfam's summary of the family: Ribonuclease P (RNase P) is a ubiquitous endoribonuclease, found in archaea, bacteria and eukarya as well as chloroplasts and mitochondria. Its best characterised activity is the generation of mature 5'-ends of tRNAs by cleaving the 5'-leader elements of precursor-tRNAs. Lineage: Eukaryota; Metazoa; Chordata; Aves; Charadriiformes; Scolopacidae. The record is from RNAcentral.
UCCGGGGGAAGCUCACCGCCGAGGCCACGCACGGGGUGUGCGUCACCCACAGCCCCGCCUCGGGGAAGGUCUGAGGGAAGGGCCGCCCGCGGCUCCAGCAGAGCCCCGCCCGCGAGUGGGGCGGGUGAGCCACCAGCAAGGGGGGGCGCCGCGUCUAUACGACUUUAAGUGGGCCGGUCCGUGGGCAGGAGAAGCCGAGCAGGUCUCGCGUGGAGCUUCCACACUCCCCGGGAUCCCGGCGGAUGCUCGUGGCCCCGCGGUGCUUUGAGACAGACUCACGGCCGGCGAUUGAGUCCAAUGGGUGAGGUGGGGCAGCGCCCUACAACCCAAUUCAGACUACUCUCCUCCGGA